Molecule: ribosomal RNA, 465 nt
Filed under: Vreelandella stevensii
Lineage: Bacteria; Pseudomonadati; Pseudomonadota; Gammaproteobacteria; Oceanospirillales; Halomonadaceae
Description: partial 16S ribosomal RNA
Rfam family: Bacterial small subunit ribosomal RNA
Source: RNAcentral
CCUACGGGGGGCUGCAGUGGGGAAUAUUGGACAAUGGGCGAAAGCCUGAUCCAGCCAUGCCGCGUAUGUGAAGAAGGCCUUCGGGUUGUAAAGCACUUUCAGUGGGGAAGAAAGCCUUGGGGCUAAUACCCUCGAGGAAGGACAUCACCCACAGAAGAAGCACCGGCUAACUCCGUGCCAGCAGCCGCGGUAAUACGGAGGGUGCGAGCGUUAAUCGGAAUUACUGGGCGUAAAGCGCGCGUAGGCGGUCUGAUAAGCCGGUUGUGAAAGCCCCGGGCUCAACCUGGGAACGGCAUCCGGAACUGUCAGGCUAGAGUGCAGGAGAGGAAGGUAGAAUUCCCGGUGUAGCGGUGAAAUGCGUAGAGAUCGGGAGGAAUACCAGUGGCGAAGGCGGCCUUCUGGACUGACACUGACGCUGAGGUGCGAAAGCGUGGGUAGCAAACAGGAUUAGAUACCCCGGUAGUC